RNAcentral lists this non-coding RNA (88 nucleotides) under pig gut metagenome. Its description in RNAcentral is "TPP riboswitch (THI element)". It matches the Rfam family "TPP riboswitch aptamer (THI element)", at positions 7 to 92 of the family's 105-position model. From Rfam's summary of the family: Vitamin B(1) in its active form thiamin pyrophosphate (TPP) is an essential coenzyme that is synthesised by coupling of pyrimidine and thiazole moieties in bacteria. The previously detected thiamin-regulatory element, thi box was extended, resulting in a new, highly conserved RNA secondary structure, the THI element, which is widely distributed in eubacteria and also occurs in some archaea. Analysis of operon structures identified a large number of new candidate thiamin-regulated genes, mostly transporters, in various prokaryotic organisms. The record is from RNAcentral.
AAUCAGGGGUGCCGUCAAGGCUGAGACGGGCAGAUGUCCGAACCCUUUAACCUGAUACGGGUAAUGCCGGCGUAGGGAGAUUAACUCA